RNAcentral lists this ribosomal RNA (443 nucleotides) under uncultured bacterium. RNAcentral describes it as "partial 16S ribosomal RNA". It matches the Rfam family "Bacterial small subunit ribosomal RNA", at positions 338 to 795 of the family's 1533-position model. The record is from RNAcentral.
CCUACGGGGUGCAGCAGUGGGGAAUAUUGGGCAAUGGGCGCAAGCCUGACCCAGCAACGCCGCGUGAAGGAAGAAGGCUUUCGGGUUGUAAACUUCUUUUCUCAGGGACGAAGCAAGUGAGGGUCCCUGUGGAAUAAGCCACGGCUAACUACGUGCCCGCAGCCGCGGUAAUACGUAGGUGGCAAGCGUUACCCGGAUUUACUGGGUGUAAGGGGCGUGUAGGCGGGGACGCAAGUCAGAUGUGAAAACCCUGGGCUCAACCUGUGGCCUGCAUUUGAAACUGUGUUUCUUGAGUACUGGAGAGGCAGACGGAAUUCCUAGUGUAGCGGUGAAAUGCGUAGAUAUUAGGAGGAACACCAGUGGCGAAGGCGGUCUGCUGGACAGCAACUGACGCUGAGGCGCGAAAGCGUGGGGAGCAAACAGGAUUAGAUACCCUAGUAGUC